GACUAUACUCCCACUUUGUAGGUGUGAAUAAAUACGCUUUGGACAAAAACUAUGGCAUGCUUUUCAUCGUCUGGGAUCGGAUGUUUGGUACAUUUGCCGAGGAACGCGAGGACGAGCCCAUCGUCUACGGCACUGUGUCUCAGAUGGACACCUUUCAUACACUCGGCCUUCAGCUAAAGCCUUAUCAGCAACUGUAUCAAAAGAUGAAAGCAAUGAAAACUGGCGGUGACAGAUUGCGGACUCUGUUCUACGGACCUGGCUGGUCUCCAGGCAAGCCUCGCCUUGGGGCGGAAGAAGACAUCCCUGACAUUGUGAGAAGGGAACAACUGGAGCAGUCCUUGCCGUUUUGGCUUAACUUGUACCUGGCAUUUCAAACAACUGUCGUUGUUUUUCUUGUGAAGGAUAUGGGAGUAAGAGUUGAGACAUUUGGUCUCUGGCUGUCAUUUGUAAACUUCGGCAUUAUUUUAUCUGCAUGUAUAUCUCUGGGGGCUCUGCACGAUUCCAAUUAUUACGCUGUUUGGCUGGAGCCUG
Long non-coding RNA from Eriocheir sinensis (Chinese mitten crab), 531 nucleotides. RefSeq lists it as uncharacterized. The transcript is spliced from 4 exons. The record is from RefSeq and is a predicted model, not a curated record. Lineage: Eukaryota; Metazoa; Arthropoda; Malacostraca; Decapoda; Varunidae.